This 237-nucleotide long non-coding RNA is filed under the name Brassica rapa (field mustard). Its description in RNAcentral is "long non-coding RNA (BRAP_LNC003691)". The record is from RNAcentral. Lineage: Eukaryota; Viridiplantae; Streptophyta; Magnoliopsida; Brassicales; Brassicaceae.
CCAACUCAAGUCGAGCUCUUGCGAAAAGCAUACUAUUUAUUUAGUAAUUUCGCUAUUGUGCGGAUGGGGGACAUUACUAAAGCCUGAUAAGUGAUUUGUUCUUGAUUCUCUACUACUGUUUAUUUAUUGUUAGCAAAAGCUUGUUUUUCUUAACUGGAUGUUGUUUUACUUUAUAAAGUUGAUUUGGUUACGUAAGCGAGGAAUUCUGAUAAGUAAGUGGAUGGACGUAAUACGAGC